UUUAUAGCAUUUGGUUAGGGGAUAGGAAUAGGCCUUUAUCCCCCCUUUAUACCCAAAUGCUAAUUUUUUAUCCGAGAAUAGUAGUUCUCGGUUAUCCCCACCAACACCUCCAUUUUCUAUAUAAAACUACCUAAAAUUGUUCUUAUCCCCGGAAACAAUCCAAUUUUCAUCCAAACACUAUUUUUCUUAUCCCCAUACUUGUACCUAUCCCUGUAAUAGCUAGUUCUUGCUUAUACCCGAACCAAACGGUAAAAGUUUUUGUACGAAAUUCUUACAACCACAUACUACAACCUAAUUUAUUUAACUAAAUGUUGACAUGUUGCUGAUACAUAACUGAUAUGAUAUUUUAAUUAUUGUCGUAUCAUUAAUUACAAUACCACUACAGCACUUCCACAUUAAUAUUUAAUUAACUAAAUUAGAUUGUGAAAUUUGAUUGAAAUAAAUUACAAAAUGCAAACUAAAAAUUACGGCAAAUUAAAGUUUGAGGACCAAAAUAUCAGCCUCAUUACAGUAUAAGGAACAGAAAAGUU
This 530-nucleotide long non-coding RNA is filed under the name Ananas comosus (pineapple). RNAcentral's name for it is "long non-coding RNA (ACOM_LNC018560)". Lineage: Eukaryota; Viridiplantae; Streptophyta; Magnoliopsida; Poales; Bromeliaceae. The record is from RNAcentral.